This 254-nucleotide ribosomal RNA is filed under the name uncultured bacterium. Its description in RNAcentral is "partial 16S ribosomal RNA". It matches the Rfam family "Bacterial small subunit ribosomal RNA", at positions 524 to 776 of the family's 1533-position model. The record is from RNAcentral.
UACGUAGGGUGCAAGCGUUUGUCCGGAAUUAUUGGGCGUAAAGAGCUCGUAGGCGGUCUGUCGCGUCUGCUGUGAAAUCCCGAGGCUCAACCUCGGGCUUGCGGUGGGUACGGGCAGGCUAGAGUGCGGUAGGGGAGAAUGGAACUCCUGGUGUAGCGGUGGAAUGCGCAGAUAUCAGGAAGAACACCGAUGGCGAAGGCAGUUCUCUGGGCCGUAACUGACGCUGAGGAGCGAAAGCGUGGGGAGCGAACAGG